AGCGGCGGACGGGUGAGUAACACGUGGGUAACCUGCCCAAGAGACUGGGAUAACACCUGGAAACAGAUGCUAAUACCGGAUAACAACACUAGACGCAUGUCUAGAGUUUGAGAGAUGGUUCUGCUAUCACUCUUGGAUGGACCUGCGGUGCAUUAGCUAGUUGGUAAGGUAACGGCUUACCAAGGCAAUGAUGCAUAGCCGAGUUGAGAGACUGAUCGGCCACAUUGGGACUGAGACACGGCCCAAACUCCUACGGGAGGCAGCAGUAGGGAAUCUUCCACAAUGGACGAAAGUCUGAUGGAGCAACGCCGCGUGAGUGAAGAAGGGUUUCGGCUCGUAAAGCUCUGUUGGUAGUGAAGAAAGAUAGAGGUAGUAACUGGCCUUUAUUUGACGGUAAUUACUUAGAAAGUCACGGCUAACUACGUGCCAGCAGCCGCGGUAAUACGUAGGUGGCAAGCGUUGUCCGGAUUUAUUGGGCGUAAAGCGAGUGCAGGCGGUUCAAUAAGUCUGAUGUGAAAGCCUUCGGCUCAACCGGAGAAUUGCAUCAGAAACUGUUGAACUUGAGUGCAGAAGAGGAGAGUGGAACUCCAUGUGUAGCGGUGGAAUGCGUAGAUAUAUGGAAGAACACCAGUGGCGAAGGCGGCUCUCUGGUCUGCAACUGACGCUGAGGCUCGAAAGCAUGGGUAGCGAACAGGAUUAGAUACCCUGGUAGUCCAUGCCGUAAACGAUGAGUGCUAAGUGU
RNAcentral lists this ribosomal RNA (742 nucleotides) under uncultured bacterium. Its description in RNAcentral is "bacterial SSU rRNA". It matches the Rfam family "Bacterial small subunit ribosomal RNA", at positions 94 to 823 of the family's 1533-position model. The record is from RNAcentral.